RNAcentral lists this unclassified non-coding RNA (520 nucleotides) under uncultured Glomus. RNAcentral's name for it is "SSU rRNA". It matches the Rfam family "Eukaryotic small subunit ribosomal RNA", at positions 569 to 1088 of the family's 1831-position model. Lineage: Eukaryota; Fungi; Glomeromycota; Glomeromycetes; Glomerales; Glomeraceae. The record is from RNAcentral.
AGCAGCCGCGGUAAUUCCAGCUCCAAUAGCGUAUAUUAAAGUUGUUGCAGUUAAAAAGCUCGUAGUUAAAUUUCGGGAUCAAUGCGUCGGUCGUGCCUUCGGUACGUACUAGCGUCAUUGAUUCCUCCCUUCUGAAGAACCGUGAUGUCAUUAAUUUGGUGUUACGGGGAAUCAGGACUGUUACCUUGAAAAAAUUAGAGUGUUUAAAGCAGGCUAACGCUUGAAUACAUUAGCAUGGAAUAAUGAAAUAGGACGUUCGAACCUAUUUUGUUGGUUUCUAGGAUCGACGUAAUGAUUAAUAGGGAUAGUUGGGGGCAUUAGUAUUCAAUUGUCAGAGGUGAAAUUCUUGGAUUUAUUGAAGACUAACUACUGCGAAAGCAUUUGCCAAGGAUGUUUUCAAUUAAUACAAGAACGAAAGUUAGGGGAUCGAAGACGAUCAGAUACCGUCGUAGUCUUAACCAUAAACUAUGCCGACUAGGGAUCGGAUGAUGUUUAAUUUUUAAUGACUCAUUCGGCGCCU